RNAcentral lists this ribosomal RNA (1338 nucleotides) under Triticum aestivum (bread wheat). RNAcentral describes it as "partial small subunit ribosomal RNA". The record is from RNAcentral. Lineage: Eukaryota; Viridiplantae; Streptophyta; Magnoliopsida; Poales; Poaceae.
AUGCAGGCCGCUGUUAGCGCGGCCAGCUGGCUCAUCGGCAAGGUGCUGAAUAAGCUCUCCGAUGAAUUGGUGGGCGCGUAUCUGCAACCCUGGCUUGCAGAGGUCCGAGCUCCGAGCUCCAAGCAGAUCCAGACCAAGUUGAAGUACAUGCAAGGGUUGCUGCACUUUGCCCAGGAGAGGGAUGUGAGCAGCAACCCUGGCUUGCAGAGCUUGCUUGGGGACCUGAGCCAGAAGGCUGAUGAGAUUGAGGACACCCUCGAUGAGCUCCACUACUUCAUGAGACAAGACCAGUUGUAUGGCACCCGGGAGGUUGCCCUGGAGCUGGGUGAUGGCCUCUGCGGUCAUGCCCUCCAUGGCAUCCAUGCUGCUAACCACACCAUUGGAGGGAUCAUGGUGCGUAAGGUCUGCAAUGUCUGCAAAAAUCCCUGUAGGGGUAGUUUAUCCCGUGCACUAGAAUUCGGGCUCUUCUUGAGGGAGGGAUUCGAAAAAUCUGUGUGUGUCCCAUGCAACGUAAGGGCCCAAUUCAAUAAUUUAAUCGGUGACAGUUUCAACUUUUCGGAUGGUCAAGGACAGUCGUACACAACUGACGUUUGUAAACAAAAGGAUAAAACCAUCAUAGGAGGUGAUGGAUGGAACAAGUAUAUUUUAAAUAAUAAGCUCACCGGGAGAGAGUACAUUGGCUUUUACUUGAAUAAAGCGGUCAACAAGUUAAGGAUUAAGUAUUUCUCUGACCAAGAUGAUGAGCUUGACGAAGAUGAUUAUGAGGAUUGCCAGGGCGAUGAGGAUGAUGACAGUGAUGAUGACAAUGAUAAUGAUGAGAGACAGGAUGAUGAUGAUGCUAGCCAGGAUGACGAUAGUCAAGAGCGCGAGGACGGGGAUGAGGAUGGGGAAGAUGAUGAGGGUAGCGGAGAUGAUGACAAUGAUGAUUCAUACAGUUCUGCAAUUUUUUCUCAAAGAAUGAAAGAGCUUACUGAGGAUGAGAAGAUCAAUCUCAUCGCGAUCCUACCAUCAAGAGUGCACUACUUGGGGAGGCCAUUUGUGCACCGUUUUACUAAGACCAACAUCGUGAAACACACCAUGAAAUUACCUAUGAAGAUGAUUUCUGGCGAGAACAUCCCUGCUACCGGCAUGGCUGGACUACGCCUUGGAGCAGCAUGUCGUGUCACCAGCGUUCAAUACAAGACGGACACAGACGGCCGCAUAUCGUUCUAUGAGGUCGGCUGGCGGGAAUUCCUGAAGGGAAAGAGGCGACUAGGGGUUGACACAGCAUUGGUCAUCACGAUAAGGAACAACAGGAAUAACAACUUCCAGAUGAUGGUCGUUAUAGACCUUAUUUAG